Molecule: ribosomal RNA, 245 nt
Filed under: uncultured bacterium
Lineage: Bacteria
Description: partial 16S ribosomal RNA
Rfam family: Bacterial small subunit ribosomal RNA
Source: RNAcentral
ACGCGAUGCAGGCGGCCUGUUAAGUCAGAUGUGAAAGACCCGGGGCGUUAAACCUUCCGGAAAUUAGUCAUUUGUAAACUAGGCAGGCUAGAGUCUUGUAGAGGGGGGUAGGGAAGUUUACAGGUGUAGCGGUGAAAUAGCGUAGAGAUCUGAAGGAAUACCAGUGGCGAAGGCGGCCCCCUGGACAAAGACUGACGCUCAGAUGCGAAAGCGUGGGGAGCAAACAGGAUUAGAUACCCUGGUAG